AUGCUCCUGUCGCCGCCAACCCCGUGGCCGCGCGUCAAGCCCGUGCGCUUGAAUCGUCUCCCGCAGUGCAAAGACCGGCUCCUCUCGCUUCCCCGCGGCCGGCGGCCGAGGGCGCCGCGGCGGCUCGGCGUGUGCAUGGCCGAGAUGGCCUGGGUCGGGAGCGAGUCGCCCCGAGAGCUUGGGGUUUCUGACGGGGAGGGGGACGCGAUGCUGGGAGGCGACAAGUUGCCCGGUCCGAGGGCGGAGGCGGCGGCCACCCGGUGGACGCCCGUCGAGGCGGCGCUGAAUCGCAUGAGUAAAUGGCUGGUGGCUGUUUCUUUUGCUCUUGCAGCUCUUUGGAAGCGUGAUGCUGAAAUUAUGUGGGCUUUGAUGGGUGCGGUUGCGAACACUGUGCUUUCGUCCAUUCUUAAAAAGCUGCUCAACCACGAAAGGCCGGCACCGGCUUUGCGGUCUGAUCCUGGGAUGCCAUCAUCCCAUGCCCAAUCCAUUUUCUAUGCUGCAACAUUUCUAGUUCUUUCAGUGUUCUCCUGGCUUGGGACAAAUUAUCUGGCAAUGAUUCUUGGGGCUACAACUGUAGCAUUGGCCUCCUAUCUAUCAUGGCUACGGGUGUCGCAGCGUCUCCACACACUGAACCAGAUUCUCGUGGGCGCUGCUGUAGGAUCAGCCUUCAGCGCUCUGUGGUUCGCGCUCUGGCAUUUGCUCGUGCGGGAAGCUUUUGCUUCCUCGUUGUGGGUCCAAAUUCCAGUCGUCCUUGGUUCAGUAGUGUUCUCUGUUUCCUUCGUCGUCUACAUCAUUCAGCACUGGCUCAAGGAUGAGUAA
This 819-nucleotide ribosomal RNA is filed under the name Triticum aestivum (bread wheat). Its description in RNAcentral is "partial small subunit ribosomal RNA". The record is from RNAcentral. Lineage: Eukaryota; Viridiplantae; Streptophyta; Magnoliopsida; Poales; Poaceae.